AGAGCGAACGCUGGCGGCAGGCCUAACACAUGCAAGUCGAGCGCCCGUAGCAAUACGGGAGCGGCAGACGGGAUAGUAACACGUGGGAACGCGCCCUUCGGUUCGGAAUAACUCAGGGAAACUUGAGCUAAUACCGGAUACGCCCUUACGGGGAAAGAUUUAUUGCCGAAGGAACGGCCCGCGUCCGAUUAGCUAGUUGGUGAGGUAAUGGCUCACCAAGGCUACGAUCGGUAGCUGGUCUGAGAGGAUGACCAGCAUCACUGGGACUGAGACACGGCCCAGACUCCUACGGGAGGCAGCAGUGGGGAAUAUUGGACAAUGGGCGCAAGCCUGAUCCAGCCAUGCCGCGUGGAUGAUGAAGGCCUUAGGGUUGUAAAGUCCGUUUUAACGGGAGAUAAUGACGGUACCGUAGAAUAAGCCCGGCUAACUUCGUGCCAGCAGCCGC
Molecule: ribosomal RNA, 445 nt
Filed under: uncultured bacterium
Lineage: Bacteria
Description: SSU rRNA
Rfam family: Bacterial small subunit ribosomal RNA
Source: RNAcentral